UACAGAGGGUGCUAGCGUUGUUCGGAAUCAUUGGGCGUAAAGGGCGUGUAGGCGGUUUGUUAAGUCAUGUGUGAAAUCCCUCGGCUCAACCGGGGAACGACGCAUGAAACUGGCAAGCUAGAGUACCAAAGAGGGGGGGUGGAAUUCCCGGUGUAGCGGUGAAAUGCGUAGAUAUCUGGAGGAACACCGGUGGCGAAGGCGGCAUCCUGGACCGGCAUUGACGCUGAGGCGCGAAAGCGUGGGGAGCAAACGGG
RNAcentral lists this ribosomal RNA (254 nucleotides) under uncultured bacterium. RNAcentral's name for it is "partial 16S ribosomal RNA". It matches the Rfam family "Bacterial small subunit ribosomal RNA", at positions 524 to 776 of the family's 1533-position model. The record is from RNAcentral.